GUGACCUCAAAUCAGGUAGGACUACCCGCUGAACUUAAGCAUAUCAAUAAGCGGAGGAAAAGAAACUAACAAGGAUUCCCCUAGUAACUGCGAGUGAAGCGGGAAAAGCUCAAAUUUAAAAUCUGUCAGUCUUUGGCUGUCCGAGUUGUAAUCUAGAGAAGUGUUAUCCGCGCUGGACCGUGUACAAGUCUCCUGGAAUGGAGCGUCAUAGAGGGUGAGAAUCCCGUCUUUGACACGGACUGCCAGGGCUUUGUGAUGCGCUCUCAAAGAGUCGAGUUGUUUGGGAAUGCAGCUCAAAAUGGGUGGUAAAUUCCAUCUAAAGCUAAAUAUUGGCGAGAGACCGAUAGCGAACAAGUACCGUGAGGGAAAGAUGAAAAGAACUUUGGAAAGAGAGUUAAACAGUACGUGAAAUUGCUGAAAGGGAAACGCUUGAAGUCAGUCGCGUUGUCCAGGGAUCAACCUUGCUUUUGCUUGGUGUACUUUCUGGUUGACGGGUCAGCAUCAAUUUUGACUGUUGGAAAAAGGUCGAGGGAAUGUGGCAUCUUUAGAUGUGUUAUAGCCCUUGAUUGCAUACAAUGGUUGGGAUUGAGGAACUCAGCACGCCGCAAGGCCGGGUAUUAACCACGUACGUGCUAGGAUGCUGCU
Molecule: ribosomal RNA, 645 nt
Filed under: Phlegmacium cf. balteatum SMI15
Lineage: Eukaryota; Fungi; Basidiomycota; Agaricomycetes; Agaricales; Cortinariaceae
Description: eukaryotic LSU rRNA
Rfam family: Eukaryotic large subunit ribosomal RNA
Source: RNAcentral